RNAcentral lists this ribosomal RNA (497 nucleotides) under uncultured bacterium. RNAcentral's name for it is "bacterial SSU rRNA". It matches the Rfam family "Bacterial small subunit ribosomal RNA", at positions 10 to 507 of the family's 1533-position model. The record is from RNAcentral.
AGUUUGAUCCUGGCUCAGGAUGAACGCUAGCGGCAGGCCUAACACAUGCAAGUCGAGGGGUAUAGUUCUUCGGAACUAGAGACCGGCGCACGGGUGCGUAACGCGUAUGCAAUCUACCUUUUACAGGGGAAUAGCCCAGAGAAAUUUGGAUUAAUGCCCCAUAGUGUUAUAGAAUCGCAUGGUUUUAUAACUAAAGUUCCAACGGUAAAAGAUGAGCAUGCGUCCCAUUAGUUAGUUGGUAAGGUAACGGCUUACCAAGACAAUGAUGGGUAGGGGUCCUGAGAGGGAGAUCCCCCACACUGGUACUGAGACACGGACCAGACUCCUACGGGAGGCAGCAGUGAGGAAUAUUGGACAAUGGGCGCAAGCCUGAUCCAGCCAUGCCGCGUGCAGGAAGACGGUCCUAUGGAUUGUAAACUGCUUUUUGUACAGGAAGAAACACUCCCUCGUGAGGGAGCUUGACGGUACUGUAAGAAUAAGGAUCGGCUAACUCCGUG